RNAcentral lists this ribosomal RNA (430 nucleotides) under uncultured bacterium. Its description in RNAcentral is "partial 16S ribosomal RNA". It matches the Rfam family "Bacterial small subunit ribosomal RNA", at positions 355 to 777 of the family's 1533-position model. The record is from RNAcentral.
UGGGGAAUUUUGGACAAUGGGCGAAAGCCUGAUCCAGCAAUGCCGCGUGUGUGAAGAAGGCCUUCGGGUUGUAAAGCACUUUUGUCCGGAAAGAAAUCCUUGGCUCUAAUACAGUCGGGGGAUGACGGUACCGGAAGAAUAAGCACCGGCUAACUACGUGCCAGCAGCCGCGGUAAUACGUAGGGUGCAAGCGUUAAUCGGAAUUACUGGGCGUAAAGCGUGCGCAGGCGGUUUGCUAAGACCGAUGUGAAAUCCCCGGGCUCAACCUGGGAACUGCAUUGGUGACUGGCAGGCUAGAGUAUGGCAGAGGGGGGUAGAAUUCCACGUGUAGCAGUGAAAUGCGUAGAGAUGUGGAGGAAUACCGAUGGCGAAGGCAGCCCCCUGGGCCAAUACUGACGCUCAUGCACGAAAGCGUGGGGAGCAAACAGGA